This 77-nucleotide transfer RNA is filed under the name Lysobacteraceae bacterium. Its description in RNAcentral is "tRNA-Pro". It matches the Rfam family "tRNA". From Rfam's summary of the family: Transfer RNA (tRNA) molecules are approximately 80 nucleotides in length. Their secondary structure includes four short double-helical elements and three loops (D, anti-codon, and T loops). RNAcentral also lists the same sequence under 1 other name. The record is from RNAcentral. Lineage: Bacteria; Pseudomonadati; Pseudomonadota; Gammaproteobacteria; Lysobacterales; Lysobacteraceae.
CGGGGCGUAGCGCAGCCUGGUAGCGCACUACAAUGGGGUUGUAGGGGUCGUGAGUUCGAAUCUCACCGUCCCGACCA